Grammomys surdaster is the source of this 1615-nucleotide RNA transcript. RefSeq lists it as uncharacterized. The record is from RefSeq and is a predicted model, not a curated record. The transcript has 3 exons. NCBI's taxonomy places the organism in Eukaryota, Metazoa, Chordata, Mammalia, Rodentia, Muridae.
ACCAGGCAGCCCCGCGGCAAGUCCUUCUGCUAGGGGUGCUCCCUCCUCCCGCCCUGCGCGCCAUAAGGCUGUAGCACGUCUCCAGGACACAGCUGCGUGAGGAUGGGCGGACGGCAGAAAGGAGCUUGUUUUCAAAAGUCUUACUCGGGUUUAGAAGGAGGAAUUAGGAGAAAAGAGGAAACUAGGCCUGCCUUUGUCAGGAUUCGAGGGGCCAAGUGGCUGGAGGGGCGACAGGUCAGCACAACGUGCUGCGCGAGCCCCCCAACUCGCCCGAGCCUCAGACCCUCAGGCUAGACUCAUGAUCUUCCCGCCCGCGAGCCCCUGCUCCCCCACGACCGGGCCUAAAUGGGAAGUUAGCUAAGGGUUUUCCAUCCCAGACCCUAGGGUCUCUCGAAUGGGUCAACUUGCAGGCGACACGAGUGUGUGAAAGCGAGAGGGAGACAAAAAUAAACAGUAGCUUUCGAGUCACUUCCCCUUGCAGCGGGCUCACGCCUAGCCUCCCUGUUCCCACCGGUGUGUAAGUUUCCUCCUGCCACACUCCCCGCCGCUGCCCAAUCCAUAACGGCUACGACCAGACGAACUGCCCAUCCCAGAGCUGCGUGCCAGCCGUGCCCGCAAGAAUGUAGCCUGGGUCGGUCCCCACAGCGGCACUAGCUCUGGGCAGCUCGGGUUCUGAUAAAGUUUCUCGUGCUCAUUUAUUAACCAAGCGCCGAAUGGCUGCCAGGGAGCCCACCCCAGGAGAAGCGGGGACCAGAAAGGUGGAGUGUCUGCUGCCGAUGAGACGUCAGGGUGCCAAGGCUGGCAUCUGGGGAGGGAGCCGGGGGCCAGAACGGGACGCAGCCUGCGGGCAACUUACAUUAGCGACGCUCGUGGUUGGGGAGGCGCGAGGAUUAUCUGAGUAUUUGCACACUCUACAAUCCCUCCUCCUUUCUCUAAGGUAACCUCCCCCCCCCUUUCCGCGAGGAAGAAGGGAGAAAAGACAGCAUCUGGCCCAAAGAGAAACGAAGACGCGCUUUAAACUCGAGCCAUCUCCCAACUCCGCAGCAGUAGGGUCCCCACGCGCUCUCCCCGGGGGCCUCGGGCUACAUUGAUCAGAAACUAUACCGGACUCGCGAAGCCCCAAAACUUAUUGUGAGGCAGCCCAUCUUCUCCUCCCCUCGAUCAUCUUUUCCAUCCAGAUGCGAGUCGUGGGAGCUGAGAGCUCGGACGAGGGUGAGAUCGCCGCCUUCCCUCCGACCCGAACGCGUGCGCCCCGCCGGCCCCCCGCUGGGUGCACACUCGCACGCACACCCUCGCACCCGUACCCGCACACGCGGGAGCACACGCACAGGUAGUCAGUCACACACCAAGGGCAGCAGCGACGGCGGACGAAACAUGCUCCGAUGGCAUUGCAACCCCCCCUCCGCCAUCCAACCUUGCAAUUCAUUUGCAGUCAGACCCCAACCCCCCCCCCCCCCGGAGCCUCCGGUCCAUGAAAAAGUGCCUUCCCCCCAAAACACACACGCACACAUAACACAAAGUAGGAGAAUGGACCGACAGAGAUAUUUUUGGCAAAUGCUCACAUCAGAGGGCGUCCUGUUCCGCAGCUCUAAAUAAAUCCGUUUGUCCAUCUCCA